RNAcentral lists this ribosomal RNA (843 nucleotides) under insect metagenome. Its description in RNAcentral is "bacterial SSU rRNA". It matches the Rfam family "Bacterial small subunit ribosomal RNA", at positions 79 to 848 of the family's 1533-position model. The record is from RNAcentral.
ACCAUCUAGCGACCUCCACUAGCGGCGGAUGGGUGAGUAACACGUGGGGAACCUGCCCCAUAGUCUGGGNNACCUNCNNGGAAACANGUGCUAAUACCGGAUAAGAAAGCAGAUCGCAUGAUCAGCUUUUAAAAGGCGGCGUAAGCUGUCGCUAUGGGAUGGCCCCGCGGUGCAUUAGCUAGUUGGUAAGGUAAAGGCUUACCAAGGCGAUGAUGCAUAGCCGAGUUGAGAGACUGAUCGGCCACAUUGGGACUGAGACACGGCCCAAACUCCUACGGGAGGCAGCAGUAGGGAAUCUUCCACAAUGGACGCAAGUCUGAUGGAGCAACGCCGCGUGAGUGAAGAAGGUUUUCGGAUCGUAAAGCUCUGUUGUUGGUGAAGAAGGAUAGAGGUAGUAACUGGCCUUUAUUUGACGGUAAUCAACCAGAAAGUCACGGCUAACUACGUGCCAGCAGCCGCGGUAAUACGUAGGUCCCGAGCGUUGUCCGGAUUUAUUGGGCGUAAAGCGAGCGCAGGCGGGAGAACAAGUCAGCUGUGAAAGCCCUCGGCUUAACCGAGGAACGGCAACUGAAACUGUUUUUCUUGAGUGCAGAAGAGGAGAGUGGAACUCCAUGUGUAGCGGUGGAAUGCGUAGAUAUAUGGAAGAACACCAGUGGCGAAGGCGGCUCUCUGGUCUGUAACUGACGCUGAGGCUCGAAAGCAUGGGUAGCGAACAGGAUUAGAUACCCUGGUAGUCCAUGCCGUAAACGAUGAGUGCUAAGUGGUUAGUGGAGGUCGCUAGAUGGUCCGUUAACAGUGGAGGUCGCUAGAUGGUCAGGGGAUGGUGGAGGUCGCUAGAUGGUC